This 689-nucleotide ribosomal RNA is filed under the name Modisimus elongatus. Its description in RNAcentral is "partial 28S ribosomal RNA". The record is from RNAcentral. Lineage: Eukaryota; Metazoa; Arthropoda; Arachnida; Araneae; Pholcidae.
GUCGGGAGCGGGCGAAGCGGGCGGUUGCCGGACCCCUAAGAAAGGCCGGUGACUGCUUCGCUGUUUCUCCCGUGCCCGACGCAUUUCCCCCCGCACCGAGGACGCCGCGACCGAUCGGGAGUCGGCCUUAGGGCGAUUCCAGGAGGUGACCGGGGACGGACGCACUCGUGCCCCGUCCUCGGUUUUUAACGGAGUCGUGCGUGGCGCGACACCCGAUCGAGGUUGACGUUCCCCGUAGGGGAACAAGCCGUCUCCUGCCGACUCCGGCAGCGGAGCAUCGGGCCAGUGUGCACCGUCGCAGCCGAACCACUCCCGGUAGUGGCCGGUUCGACGGGAUGCCGUCGUUGGGCUCGAGCGACCGCGGAGGGAAGCAUGGACUGGUCGGCGGCGAGUAGGUCGGUCACCCACCCGACCCGUCUUGAAACACGGACCAAGGAGUCUAACAUGUGCGCGAGUCGCAGGGUCUUGUUCAGGCCCUCGGGCGCAAUGAAAGUGAAGGUCGCCUAGCGCGACCGAGUUGGGACUCCYGCCUCUUUCGAGGGCGGGAAGCACCAACGGCCCGUCCCCUCCGAUCCGUCGGUUGGGCGGAGUUCGAGCGUACACGUUGGGACCCGAAAGAUGGUGAACUAUGCCUGGGCAGAACGAAGCCAGAGGAAACUCUGGUGGAGGUUCGUAGCGGUCUGACGUGC